AGAGCCACACUUUCCGCUUAAAACUGGAAGGAAGCGCCAGCGAUUUUACCGACCACCCAACAACUGCUUUCCAUAAAUAAAUAUUUUCGCCACCUUAACAUUAAAUAAACCUGCCAAGGAAACAACAACAAAAAAAGCCCUCAACUGCGCAUUCGGCGGCGUGGGCAUUUUCUAAGCGAUUUCCUACCCUGCAGCACGAUGGUGCCAUCCAAAUACAGCCAAAAGCAUCAAAAGGCGAGAAAAGGCUCCUGGUUAGCCGUGGGGCAGAAACUCAGUGCCGGCUGGCCUCAGGACACGGCGCCGGCGGCUGCCGCAGCAGGAGGCAGCGCAAGAAAAGCGAGAAAAGGGAAGCGUCAGCUCGGAGCAAAAGAAGCCCCAAAAGUCAAUCCUGGGCCGCCAUUUCUCAGGACUCCAGCCACAGAGGACAUGCUGGACUUAGCCUUCACCUUUUAAAGACACUGAUGGGACGUGUCUGAAGAGGUCCCCGACCCUCACUUUGAGGGCAAAAGAAAGAAACAGAGCAUCUUUCCCCUGCCUCGCUGCUCUCGGCCAAAAUCUGAGCCAAACUCCUACGAAAAGUGCAAAAACCCCUCCCGUUCUGUGGCGUAGUUUUUCUUUUGUUUUUCGCAGUAAGGGAAUUGCCGCUGUUUCGACUACAGGCAGAUGAACAGCAAGUACGCUGUGCCUUUGAAAGCCCAGACGUCGACCCACACAAGAUAUACAUAGUAGUAACAGCAAGGGUUUACACAUGUGUCGCAGCAAUGGCAAGAGUCAAGUGGAAGAGCACCAGCAUCCAGUCCGUGGCAGAGGAAACGAGGAACAGGAACGUGCGCUCAAAAUAGGUUUGCUUACAGAAACCAGGCAAGCAGAGCGGCACAGCUGGCUAGCUCAGCCCUUGCUUCCUUUCCCAGGCCUUCCCCGAGCAGGUCCGCGGCAGGGGUGCGGACCCAAGGAGACACACGUACGAGCCCAAUUAGCGCGCGGGAGCUUUUCUACACACCCGUGCAAAAUCCUCCCAGAGCAGACAAAUCACACGGCAGGCAGCUGCCUCGAUCUCCGCUCGGCCAGAGGCAGCCCGCUCCGGGCAGCGCGGCUGACGUCGGGGCGCCGCUGGAAGCUGCUUCCAGCUGAGCUGCGUGCCGCCGGGGAGCCCGGCCCCAUCAUCCGCGGAUACGCUGCCCCCGGCCUUUGCGUUAUCAGCAAAAGCCACCUCGGUCUAAUGGUGAGCGCAGCAACGCAGAAGAGCGGGAAGGGUUUUUUUUUGGGGGGGGUGAAGCCACCUGGGAAUUCAGCAGGGAAAAGGAGAGCGACCUCCCAGGGAGAGCAAACGCUCGAAUGCGCUGCGUUAAACCCCAUCGCUGCAGCCGUGCGCAGGACUCCCCUUUCAGGGAGCACGGCAGGGUUUCCGCCGGCGUUGACCAUUUACUGA
This 1429-nucleotide long non-coding RNA is filed under the name Apteryx haastii (Great spotted kiwi). RNAcentral's name for it is "lncRNA (ENSAHAG00000000049.1)". The record is from RNAcentral. Lineage: Eukaryota; Metazoa; Chordata; Aves; Apterygiformes; Apterygidae.